Gossypium raimondii (Peruvian cotton) is the source of this 141-nucleotide non-coding RNA. NCBI's taxonomy places the organism in Eukaryota, Viridiplantae, Streptophyta, Magnoliopsida, Malvales, Malvaceae. The record is from Rfam.
UUUUAAAAAUGUCAUCCAUACUAUUAAAAACUGGCUUAGCUCGUGGAAUAAUUAGAUAAUUACACGUGGCGUGUCAUACGUACCUCAUGGUGACAUAUAUGAACCAAUUUUUAAUGGUAAAAAUAAAUGAAAGUUUCAACA